This 478-nucleotide ribosomal RNA is filed under the name uncultured bacterium. RNAcentral's name for it is "partial 16S ribosomal RNA". It matches the Rfam family "Bacterial small subunit ribosomal RNA", at positions 28 to 507 of the family's 1533-position model. The record is from RNAcentral.
GAUGAACGCUGGCGGCGUGCUUAACACAUGCAAGUCGAACGAGAAGUGAAGACGGAAACCUUCGGGCGGACGGCUUUAUUUCGAGUGGCGGACGGGUGAGUCACGCGUGGGUACCCUGCCUCAUACAGGGGGAUAACAGUUGGAAACGCCUGUUAAUACCGCAUCAGACCACCGCACCGCAUGGUGCGGGGGUAAAAACUCCGGUGGUAUGAGUUGGACGCGCGUUCGAUUAGCCAGUUGGCGGGGUAACGGCCCACCAAAGCGACGAUCGAUAGCCGAGCUGAGAGGACGACCGGGCACAUUGGGAGUGAGAGACGGCCCAAACUCCUACGGAAGGCAGCAGUGGGGAAUGUGGCACGAUGGGGGAGAGCCUGAGGCAGCGAGGCCGCGUGAGUGAAGAAGUAUUGCGGUAUGUAAAGCUCUAUCAGCAGGGAAGAAAAUGACGGUACCUGAAGAAGAAGCCCCGGCUAACUACGUG